AACGAACGCUGGCGGCAUGCCUAACACAUGCAAGUCGAACGAGACCUUCGGGUCUAGUGGCGCACGGGUGCGUAACGCGUGGGAACCUGCCCUUAGGUUCGGAAUAACUCCCCGAAAGGGGUGCUAAUACCGGAUAAUGUCUUCGGACCAAAGAUUUAUCGCCUUUGGAUGGGCCCAGGUUGGCUUAGCUAGUUGGUAGGGUAAAAGCCUACCAAGGCGACGAUCCAUAGCUGGUCUGAGAGGAUGAUCCGCCACACUGGGACUGAGACAGGGCCGAGAGUCAGAAGGGAGGUAGCAGUGGGGAAUAUUGGACAAGGGGGGAAUGCGGGAUCGAGUCAUGUCGCGUGUGUGCAGAAGGUCUUAGGAUUGUAGAGCAAUGUAAGUUGGGAGGAAGGGCAGUAAGUUAAUACCGUGCGGUUUUGACGUGACCAACAGAAUAAGCACCGGCUACCUUCGUG
RNAcentral lists this ribosomal RNA (458 nucleotides) under uncultured bacterium. Its description in RNAcentral is "partial 16S ribosomal RNA". It matches the Rfam family "Bacterial small subunit ribosomal RNA", at positions 29 to 507 of the family's 1533-position model. The record is from RNAcentral.